Molecule: ribosomal RNA, 587 nt
Filed under: uncultured bacterium
Lineage: Bacteria
Description: bacterial SSU rRNA
Rfam family: Bacterial small subunit ribosomal RNA
Source: RNAcentral
CCUACGGGAGGCAGCAGUGGGGAAUCUUGCACAAUGGAGGAAACUCUGAUGCAGCGAUGCCGCGUGAGUGAAGAAGGCCUUUGGGUUGUAAAGCUCUUUUGUAGGGGAAGAUAAUGACUGUACCCUAAGAAUAAGGUCCGGCUAACUUCGUGCCAGCAGCCGCGGUAAUACGAAGGGACCUAGCGUAGUUCGGAAUUACUGGGCGUAAAGCGCGCGUAGGCCGUUGAGUUAGUUAAUUGUGAAAUCCCAAAGCUUAGCUUUGGAACUGCAAUUAAGACUGCUCGACUAGAGUUUGAUAGAGGAAAGCGGAAUACAUAGUGUAGAGGUGAAAUUCGUAGAUAUUAUGUAGAACACCAGUCGCGAAGGCGGCUUUCUGGAUCAACACUGACGCUGAGGCGCGAAAGUAUGGGUAGCAAAGAGGAUUAGAUACCCUCGUAGUCCAUACCAUAAACGAUGAUUGCUAGAUGUUGGAAAUUUAUUUUCAGUAUCGCAGCUAACGCAUUAAGCAAUCCGCCUGGGGAUACGACCGCAAGGUUAAAACUCAAAGAUAGUACGACGNGAGAGUAGCGACGAGACACAGGAGGUAG